ACUCCUGCGGGAGGCAGCAGUGGGGAAUAUUGCACAAUGGGCGCAAGCCUGAUGCAGCCAUGCCGCGUGUAUGAAGAAGGCCUUCGGGUUGUAAAGUACUUUCAGCGGGGAGGAAGGCAAUACGGUUAAUAACCGUGUUGAUUGACGUUACCCGCAGAAGAAGCACCGGCUAACUCCGUGCCAGCAGCCGCGGUAAUACGGAGGGUGCAAGCGUUAAUCGGAAUUACUGGGCGUAAAGCGCACGCAGGCGGUCUGUCAAGUCGGAUGUGAAAUCCCCGGGCUCAACCUGGGAACUGCAUUCGAAACUGGCAGGCUUGAGUCUUGUAGAUGGGGGUAGAAUUCCAGGUGUAGCGGUGAAAUGCGUAGAGAUCUGGAGGAAUACCGGUGGCGAAGGCGGCCCCCUGGACAAAGACUGACGCUCAGGUGCGAAAGCGUGGGGAGCAAACAGGAUUAGAAACCCUAGUAGUCCCAUGAU
RNAcentral lists this ribosomal RNA (475 nucleotides) under uncultured organism. Its description in RNAcentral is "partial 16S ribosomal RNA". It matches the Rfam family "Bacterial small subunit ribosomal RNA", at positions 335 to 801 of the family's 1533-position model. The record is from RNAcentral.